GGCCUUGUGCUUACUGCAGGCUUUGUUCUUACACUGUAUAGAAAGAAGAGACAAAAUAAACCUACCCUAUAUACUCCUCAGGCUAGGCCUGGUCUCUAUUGUGAAUGGGGGGACAUGG
This is a small nucleolar RNA of Chionomys nivalis (European snow vole), 118 nucleotides long. RefSeq annotates it as small nucleolar RNA SNORA51. NCBI's taxonomy places the organism in Eukaryota, Metazoa, Chordata, Mammalia, Rodentia, Cricetidae. The record is from RefSeq and is a predicted model, not a curated record. The transcript has a single exon.